GGGAAUAUGGCUUAGUGGUAGAGUGCUUGCCUAGAUGCAUGAAGCCCUGGGUUCAAUUCCUCAGUACUACCU
This 72-nucleotide transfer RNA is filed under the name Dipodomys ordii (Ord's kangaroo rat). It matches the Rfam family "tRNA". Rfam says of the family: Transfer RNA (tRNA) molecules are approximately 80 nucleotides in length. Their secondary structure includes four short double-helical elements and three loops (D, anti-codon, and T loops). Further hydrogen bonds mediate the characteristic L-shaped molecular structure. tRNAs have two regions of fundamental functional importance: the anti-codon, which is responsible for specific mRNA codon recognition, and the 3' end, to which the tRNAs corresponding amino acid is attached (by aminoacyl-tRNA synthetases). tRNAs cope with the degeneracy of the genetic code in two manners: having more than one tRNA (with a specific anti-codon) for a particular amino acid; and 'wobble' base-pairing, i.e. permitting non-standard base-pairing at the 3rd anti-codon position. Lineage: Eukaryota; Metazoa; Chordata; Mammalia; Rodentia; Heteromyidae. The record is from Rfam by way of RNAcentral.